UAUGAGGGGUGAUAACGAGUCUGCUUGCAGACGAAGUGAGUGAUACCCUGCUUCCAGGAAAAGCCACUAAGCUUCAGCUACACACGACCGUACCGCAAACCGACACUGGUGCGCGAGAUGAGUAUUCUAAGGCGCUUGAGAGAACUCAGGAGAAGGAACUCGGCAAAUUGACACCGUAACUUCGGAAGAAGGUGUGCCUUUAGUAGGUGAAGUCCCUGCGGAUGGAGCCCAAUGAGGUUGCAAAAAAUCGGUGGCUGCGACUGUUUAAUAAAAACACAGCACUCUGCAAACACGAAAGUGGACGUAUAGGGUGUGACGCCUGCCCGGUGCUGGAAGAUUAAAUGAUGGGGUGCAAGCUCUUGAUUGAAGUCCCAGUAAACGGCGGCCGUAACAAUAACGGUCCUAAGGUAGCGAAAUUCCUUGUCGGGUAAGUUCCGACCUGCACGAAUGGCGUAACGAUGGCCACACUGUCUCCUCCUGAGACUCAGCGAAGUUGAAAUGUUUGUGAUGAUGCAAUCUCCCCGCGGAAAGACGGAAAGACCCCAUGAACCUUUACUGUAGCUUUGUAUUGGACUUUGAACAGAUCUGUGUAGGAUAGGUGGGAGGCUUUGAAGCAGGGUCGCUAGAUCUUGUGGAGCCAACGUUGAAAUACCACCCUGGUGUGUUUGAGGUUCUAACCUAGGUCCAUUAUCUGGAUCGGGGACAGUGCAUGGUAGGCAGUUUGACUGGGGCGGUCUCCUACCAAAGCGUAACGGAGGAGUUCGAAGGUACGCUAGGUACGGUCGGACAUCGUGCUAAUAGUGCAAUGGCAUAAGCGUGCUUAACUGCGAGACUGACAAGUCGAGCAGAUGCGAAAGCAGGACAUAGUGAUCCGGUGGUUCUGUAUGGAAGGGCCAUCGCUCAACGGAUAAAAGGUACUCUGGGGAUAACAGGCUGAUACCGCCCAAGAGUUCAUAUCGACGGCGGUGUUUGGCACCUCGAUGUCGGCUCAUCUCAUCCUGGGGCUGUAGCCGGUCCCAAGGGUAUGGCUGUUCGCCAUUUAAAGAGGUACGUGAGCUGGGUUUAAAACGUCGUGAGACAGUUUGGUCCCUAUCUUCCGUGGGCGCUGCAGAUUUGAGGAAGCCUGCUCCUAGUACGAGAGGACCGGAGUGGACACACCUCCGGUGUAUCGGUUGUCACGCCAGUGGCAUUGCCGAGUAGCUAUGUGUGGAAGAGAUAACCGCUGAAAGCAUCUAAGCGGGAAACUCGUUUCAAGAUGAGAUCUGCCGGGGCCUUGAGCCCCCUAAAGAGUCGUUCAAGACCAGGACGUUGAUAGGUCAGGUGUGGAAGCGCAGUAAUGCGUUAAGCUAACUGAUACUAAUUGCUCGUGCGGCUUGACCA
RNAcentral lists this ribosomal RNA (1380 nucleotides) under metagenome. RNAcentral describes it as "bacterial LSU rRNA". It matches the Rfam family "Bacterial large subunit ribosomal RNA", at positions 1555 to 2925 of the family's 2925-position model. The record is from RNAcentral.